Molecule: ribosomal RNA, 301 nt
Filed under: uncultured bacterium
Lineage: Bacteria
Description: partial 16S ribosomal RNA
Rfam family: Bacterial small subunit ribosomal RNA
Source: RNAcentral
CAGUCGCCGCGGUAAUACGAAGGGUGCAAGCGUUAAUCGGAAUUACUGGGCGUAAAGCGUGCGUAGGCGGUUUGUUAAGUCUGUUGUGAAAUCCCCGGGCUCAACCUGGGAAUGGCAAUGGAUACUGGCAAGCUAGAGUGUGUCAGAGGAUGGUGGAAUUCCCGGUGUAGCGGUGAAAUGCGUAGAGAUCGGGAGGAACAUCAGUGGCGAAGGCGGCCAUCUGGGACAACACUGACGCUGAGGCACGAAAGCGUGGGGAGCAAACAGGAUUAGAGACCCGCGUAGUCCCUGUCUCUUAUAC